This 468-nucleotide ribosomal RNA is filed under the name uncultured bacterium. Its description in RNAcentral is "partial 16S ribosomal RNA". It matches the Rfam family "Bacterial small subunit ribosomal RNA", at positions 28 to 507 of the family's 1533-position model. The record is from RNAcentral.
GACGAACGCUGGCGGCGUGCUUAACACAUGCAAGUCGAACGGAAAGGCCCUGCUUUUGUGGGGUGCUCGAGUGGCGAACGGGUGAGUAACACGUGAGUAACCUGCCCUUGACUUUGGGAUAACUUCAGGAAACUGGGGCUAAUACCGGAUAGGAGCUCCUGCUGCAUGGUGGGGGUUGGAAAGUUUCGGCGGUUGGGGAUGGACUCGCGGCUUAUCAGCUUGUUGGUGGGGUAGUGGCUUACCAAGGCUUUGACGGGUAGCCGGCCUGAGAGGGUGACCGGCCACAUUGGGAAUUAGAUACGGCCCCGACUCCUAAGGGGGGCAGGAGUGGGGAAUAUUGCACAAUGGGCGGAAGCCUGAUGCCGCAACGCCGCGUGCGGGAUGACGGCCUACGGGUUGUAAACCGCUUUCGCCUGUGACGAAGCGUGAGUGAAGGGAAUGGGUAAAGAAGCACCGGCUAACUACGUG